UGGAAGCCUUCUCUCCCUCCUCUCCCCACCGCCCAGGGCUCCGUUUAAUGUCUCUAGAAAGGGCCGCCACCCCAGGCCGGGGUAGUUUACCCAUCAGGGAGGGGCGUAGACCCUCCGGCAGUUGUUUGGAGAGCACCCACACCCUUUCGUCGCCUGGAAGCACCGGAGAAUUGGAAUGUAAUCCAAGAAAUAAUUGCAAUGAAAAUACACAGAAGUGAAGGACAAUCUGGAAGAACAGAGGCAAAAAUCGUUAAUAAAGCAUAUCACAACUGGAAAGGCCUCCAGGAAUUGAUGCAGAGUGAAAGGAGCAGAACCAGGAGAACAUUGUACAAAGGGACUGAUACACUGUGGUACAAUCGAAUGUAAUGGACUUCUAUACUAGCAGUAAUACAAUGAUCCAGGACAAUUCUGAGGGACUUAUGAGAAAGAACGCUAUCCACAUGCAGAGGAAGAACUGUGGGAGCAGAAACACAGGAGAAAAACUGCUUGAUCACAUGAUUUGAUGGGGAUAUGAUUGGGGAUGUAGACUAAAUGAUCACUCUAGUGCAAAUAUCAAUAAUAUGGAAAUAGGUCUUGAUCAAUGACACAUGUAAAACCCAGUGGAGUUGUUUGUUGGCUAUGGGAAGGGGGUGGAAGGAAGGGAGGGAAAGAACAUGAAUGAUGUAACCAUGAAGAAAUAUUCUAAAUUA
This 689-nucleotide long non-coding RNA is filed under the name Monodelphis domestica (gray short-tailed opossum). Its description in RNAcentral is "lncRNA (ENSMODG00000036227.2)". Lineage: Eukaryota; Metazoa; Chordata; Mammalia; Didelphimorphia; Didelphidae. The record is from RNAcentral.